RNAcentral lists this ribosomal RNA (632 nucleotides) under uncultured bacterium. Its description in RNAcentral is "bacterial SSU rRNA". It matches the Rfam family "Bacterial small subunit ribosomal RNA", at positions 100 to 746 of the family's 1533-position model. The record is from RNAcentral.
GAACGGGUGAGUAACACGUGGGUGAUCUGCCCUGCACUCUGGGAUAAGCCUGGGAAACUGGGUCUAAUACCGGAUAGGACCACACACUUCAUGGUGAGUGGUGCAAAGCUUUUGCGGUGUGGGAUGAGCCCGCGGCCUAUCAGCUUGUUGGUGGGGUAAUGGCCCACCAAGGCGACGACGGGUAGCCGGCCUGAGAGGGUGACCGGCCACACUGGGACUGAGAUACGGCCCAGACUCCUACGGGAGGCAGCAGUGGGGAAUAUUGCACAAUGGGCGCAAGCCUGAUGCAGCGACGCCGCGUGAGGGAUGACGGCCUUCGGGUUGUAAACCUCUUUCAGUAGGGACGAAGCGAAAGUGACGGUACCUACAGAAGAAGGACCGGCCAACUACGUGCCAGCAGCCGCGGUAAUACGUAGGGUCCGAGCGUUGUCCGGAAUUACUGGGCGUAAAGAGCUCGUAGGUGGAUUGUCGCGUUGUUCGUGAAAACUCACAGCUUAACUGUGGGCGUGCGGGCGAUACGGGCAGACUAGAGUACUGCAGGGGAGACUGGAAUUCCUGGUGUAGCGGUGGAAUGCGCAGAUAUCAGGAGGAACACCGGUGGCGAAGGCGGGUCUCUGGGCAGUAACUGACGC